AGGACGAACGCUGGCGGCGUGCUUAACACAUGCAAGUGGUGCGACGAACCAGGGCUUGCCCUGGGGCAAAGCCGCGAACGGGUGAGUAACACGUGAGUAAUCUGCCCCGAUGACCGGGACAACCCGAGGAAACUCGGGCUAAUACCGGAUGUGGUGCUUGGGCGUAAGCCUGUGCACUAAAGGAAGCUUCGGCCUCCGCAUUGGGAGGAGCUCGCGGCCCAUUAGCUUGUUGGUGGGGUAACGGCCUACCAAGGCGACGAUGGGUAGCUGGUCUGAGAGGACGAUCAGCCACACUGGGACUGAGACACGGCCCAGACUCCUACGGGAGGCAGCAGUGGGGAAUCUUGCGCAAUGCGCGAAAGCGUGACGCAGCAACGCCGCGUGGGGGAAGACGGCCUUCGGGUUGUAAACCCCUUUCAGGAGGGACGAAGGUCCGCCGGUGAAUAGCCGUGCGGAUUGACGGUACCUCCACAAGAAGCUCCGGCUAACUACGUGCCAGCAGCCGCGGUAAUACGUAGGGGGCAAGCGUUGUCCGGAUUUAUUGGGCGUA
This 550-nucleotide ribosomal RNA is filed under the name uncultured bacterium. RNAcentral's name for it is "bacterial SSU rRNA". It matches the Rfam family "Bacterial small subunit ribosomal RNA", at positions 26 to 562 of the family's 1533-position model. The record is from RNAcentral.